AUUGAACGCUGGCGGCAGGCUUAACACAUGCAAGUCGAGCGCGGGAAGGUAGCUUGCUACUGGACCUAGCGGCGGACGGGUGAGUAAUGCUUAGGAAUCUGCCUAUUAGUGGGGGACAACAUCUCGAAAGGGAUGCUAAUACCGCAUACGUCCUACGGGAGAAAGCAGGGGAUCUUCGGACCUUGCGCUAAUAGAUGAGCCUCAGUCGGAUUAGCUAGUUGGUGGGGUAAAGGCCUACCAAGGCGACGAUCUGUAGCGGGUCUUAGAGGAUGAGACGCCACACUGGGACUGAGACACGGACCAGACGCCUACGGGAGGCAGCAGUGGGGAAUAUUGGACAAUGGGGGGAACCCUGAUCCAGCCAUGCCGCGUGUGUGAAGAAGGCCUUAUGGUUGUAAAGCACUUUAAGCGAGGAGGAGGCUACUUUAGUUAAUACCUAGAGAUAGUGGACGUUACUCGCAGAAUAAGCACCGGCUAACUCUGUGCCAGCCGCCGCCGUAA
Molecule: ribosomal RNA, 501 nt
Filed under: uncultured bacterium
Lineage: Bacteria
Description: partial 16S ribosomal RNA
Rfam family: Bacterial small subunit ribosomal RNA
Source: RNAcentral